RNAcentral lists this ribosomal RNA (391 nucleotides) under uncultured bacterium. RNAcentral describes it as "partial 16S ribosomal RNA". It matches the Rfam family "Bacterial small subunit ribosomal RNA", at positions 523 to 916 of the family's 1533-position model. The record is from RNAcentral.
AUACGGAGGAUGCGAGCGUUAUCCGGAUUUAUUGGGUUUAAAGGGUGCGUAGGCGGCCUUUUAAGUCAGCGGUGAAAGUCUGUGGCUCAACCAUAGAAUUGCCGUUGAAACUGGGGGGCUUGAGUAUGUUUGAGGCAGGCGGAAUGCGUGGGGUAGCGGGGAAAUGAAUAGAUAUCACGCAGAACCCCGAUUGCGAAGGGAGCCUGCCAAGCCAUGACUGACGCUGAUGCACGAAAGCGUGGGGAUCAAACAGGAUUAGAUACCCUGGUAGUCCACGCAGUAAACGAUGAUCACUAGCUGUUUGCGAUACACUGUAAGCGGCACAGCGAAAGCGUUAAGUGAUCCACCUGGGGAGUACGCCGGCAACGGUGAAACUCAAAUGAAUUGACGG